Molecule: ribosomal RNA, 253 nt
Filed under: uncultured bacterium
Lineage: Bacteria
Description: partial 16S ribosomal RNA
Rfam family: Bacterial small subunit ribosomal RNA
Source: RNAcentral
GACAGAGGGUGCAAACGUUGUUCGGAUUUACUGGGCGUAAAGCGUGUGUAGGCGGCUUGGCAAGUUGGAUGUGAAAGCCCACGGCUCAACCGUGGAAGCGCACCCAAAACUGCUUCGCUCGAGUCUCGGAGAGGAAGGUGGAAUGCUUGGUGUAGAGGUGAAAUUCGUAGAUAUCGAGGGGAACACCAGUGGCGAAGGCGGCCAACUGGACGAAUACUGACGCUGAGACACGAAAGCGUGGGGAGCAAGCAGG